AUUGAACGCUGGCGGCAGGCCUAACACAUGCAAGUCGAGCGAGCGGCGGACGGGUGAGUAAUGUAUGGGGAACUGCCCGAUAGAGGGGGAUAACUACUGGAAACGGUGGCUAAUACCGCAUACUAUCGGAUGAACCCAUAUGGGAUUAGCUAGUAGGUUGGGUAACGGCUCACCUAGGCGACGAUCCCUAGCUGGUCUGAGAGGAUGAACAGCCACACUGGAACUGAGACACGGCCCAGACUCCUACGGGAGGCAGCAGUGGGGAAUAUUGCACAAUGGGCGCAAGCCUGAUGCAGCCAUGCCGCGUGUAUGAAGAAGGCCUUAGGGUUGUAAAGUACUUUCAGCGAGGAGGCGUUACUCGCAGAAGAAGCACCGGCUAACUCCGUGCCAGCAGCCGCGGUAAUUC
This 406-nucleotide ribosomal RNA is filed under the name uncultured bacterium. RNAcentral describes it as "partial 16S ribosomal RNA". It matches the Rfam family "Bacterial small subunit ribosomal RNA", at positions 30 to 526 of the family's 1533-position model. The record is from RNAcentral.